Molecule: long non-coding RNA, 172 nt
Organism: Cynoglossus semilaevis (tongue sole)
Lineage: Eukaryota; Metazoa; Chordata; Actinopteri; Pleuronectiformes; Cynoglossidae
Exons: 2
Source: RefSeq, a predicted model, not a curated record
AUUUACGUUCCCCACAGAUUCCCAUUUGUGGCUGUGUCGAUUGCCUUUGCCGUCAACAAGGAGCUGGAGUUUGGAAUCGUCUACAGCUGUUUGGAAGAUAAAAUGUACAAAGCCAGAAAAGGUCAAGGGGCUUUCUGUAACGACGAGCUCAUUCAGGUGUCGGAUGUCAAAG